RNAcentral lists this ribosomal RNA (277 nucleotides) under uncultured bacterium. RNAcentral describes it as "partial 16S ribosomal RNA". It matches the Rfam family "Bacterial small subunit ribosomal RNA", at positions 524 to 796 of the family's 1533-position model. The record is from RNAcentral.
UACGUAGGGUGCAAGCGUUAAUCGGAAUUACUGGGCGUAAAGCGUGCGCAGGCGGUUCGCUAAGACAGAUGUGAAAUCCCCGGGCUUAACCUGGGAACUGCAUUUGUGACUGGCGGGCUAGAGUAUGGCAGAGGGGGGGUAGAAUUCCACGUGUAGCAGUGAAAUGCGUAGAGAUGUGGAGGAAUACCGAUGGCGAAGGCAGCCCCCUGGGCCAAUACUGACGCUCAUGCACGAAAGCGUGGGGAGCAAACAGGAUUAGAGUACCCCGGUAAGCUCC